GAUGAACGCUGGCGGCGUGCCUAAUACAUGCAAGUCGAGCGAACGGACGAGAAGCUUGCUUCUCUGAUGUUAGCGGCGGACGGGUGAGUAACACGUGGAUAACCUACCUAUAAGACUGGGAUAACUUCGGGAAACCGGAGCUAAUACCGGAUAAUAUUUUGAACCGCAUGGUUCAAAAGUGAAAGACGGUCUUGCUGUCACUUAUAGAUGGAUCCGCGCUGCAUUAGCUAGUUGGUAGGUAACGGCUUACCAAGGCAACGAUGCAUAGCCGACCUGAGAGGGUGAUCGGCCACACUGGAACUGAGACACGGUCCAGACUCCUACGGGAGGCAGCAGUAGGGAAUCUUCCGCAAUGGGCGAAAGCCUGACGGAGCAACGCCGCGUGAGUGAUGAAGGUCUUCGGAUCGUAAAACUCUGUUAUUAGGGAAGAACAUAUGUGUAAGUAACUGUGCACAUCUUGACGGCACCUAAUCAGAAAGCCACGGCUAACUACGUGC
This 497-nucleotide ribosomal RNA is filed under the name uncultured bacterium. Its description in RNAcentral is "partial 16S ribosomal RNA". It matches the Rfam family "Bacterial small subunit ribosomal RNA", at positions 28 to 508 of the family's 1533-position model. The record is from RNAcentral.